Molecule: non-coding RNA, 85 nt
Filed under: Virgibacillus necropolis
Lineage: Bacteria; Bacillati; Bacillota; Bacilli; Caryophanales; Bacillaceae
Description: c-di-GMP sequence
Rfam family: c-di-GMP-I riboswitch aptamer
About the family: GEMM was predicted in a large-scale screen for bacterial structured RNA regulatory elements. Genes associated with GEMM are involved in a diverse array of functions, including chemotaxis regulation, signal transduction, secretion and chitin.
Source: Rfam by way of RNAcentral
CUCAGAAAAGGGCAAACUUACUGAAAAGUAUGGACGCAAAAUCACAGGUCUAAAGCUAAUUAGCUACGGCGGCUGGGUUACCCAG